This is a long non-coding RNA of Calidris pygmaea (Spoon-billed sandpiper), 1561 nucleotides long. The record is from Ensembl. Lineage: Eukaryota; Metazoa; Chordata; Aves; Charadriiformes; Scolopacidae.
AUGAGUUUUUGGAGACCGUUCCCUGUGGGAUUUUGUCAUCAGCUUGGGGCUGUGGGGGCUGCAGGUGGUUUGGGGUCUGGAAGCCCAAGCUUGGAAAAAGAACCCUCCUUUCCCUUGGAAAAAGAACCCUCCUUCCUCCUUCCCAGAAGAGGCAACAGCAGCAGGUGUCUCUGCACGGUGGGAUGGUGGCUCACGAGUGCCUCUGUGAUGUUUGUGUGUGCAGGACUCAACUUUCUACCGUGUGUCCUCUUCGGUUUAGCAGUUGGGACGCUGCUUUACAUGCCGAUUAUUGGCAUUCUGCUGUGGCAGUGCCAAAAGAACAGAAAAGAAAAGCUUGUAGCCAUGCAAGUGGUGGAGGAGCAUCAGCUCAGCACGGCAGCCCCAGUGACGGGGACUGAAGAGCUGACCUACGCUAACCUGAAGUUUGAGAAGGAGACAAACCCCACCUCCUCCGAUGUCAUUUACACCAAGAUCAAACCACUGCAACAAAAGCAGGGUGGUGGGGAUGCCGGUGCUGCCAACACGGAGGUGGAUGUGUUCCCCGAGGGAGAGGGCAAAUGAAGGAGAAAAGAGGGAUGAGCAGCUUGGUGUGGCCUUGUCAGGGUCAUCAUCCCCCCAAAAUAAGUGUUAGUUCUUAUGUAAGUGCAAUCUUGGCAACUGAAGCCACCUAUUUAUCCCCAAAUGGCUGCACCACUGUGCUUUACAGUCCCUUGGAAGAAGCCAUCUCCUGUGGUAAGGACAGUGCUCUUCCAACCAUUCUUGCCCUUGCCUUCCUGCAGCUCCAGGCACCACCAAGCUUCAGCUUUUUUGGUCAGACCUUUCAGACCUUUUUUGGUCUCUGCUCACCAACGGGCUCUUCUAGCAACUUGUUCCAUGUUUCAGUGAUGUCACCAUGCACUGCGUGGCCACCAUGGUUCAGGAAGCACUUGGUAUCCCUUUGGUGCUGGACAUGCUGGGUGGGGUGGCCAUGGAAAGGUCCUCUGGGUGCUGCAAAAGCCCUGGAGCAGUUGUCUGGAUUUUCUCCAGAGCAGGCACCUGUUGUGACAUGAGGUGCCCUUGCUCUGGUUUCACUCGCUCGAAACACAAGGAGCAAGGAUGGAACGGUAUAAUUUGCUUCGCAGCGGUGUGACGUGGGUGCUGCUGCAGUGAUCUAUGUGCAUCUGCUUCAUACCAGGAGCGGACAUGUGUCUUCAUGCAUGUAGAGCUUUCCUGUAAUUUGUUUUUUUUUUAAAAAAGAAAAAAAGAAAAAAAGAAAAAGGGAUGUUUUCUCCCUCAGUGUUUCCACUGCUGUACUGCUGAUGAUGGAGACUCAGUGAAGUCCAUCAGGAAUAGCCAGCAAGGCCUGGAGUCUUUCUGAUCUCCCCGCAUUUUCAGAGCAGCUGACAGUAGGAGACAUCCCUACAGUGGUGGUGGUGGAGCUCCAGGUGUCCUGGGUGCAGAGCUUGGGUCACACAUGACCAGGAAGACACAGGCAAAGGCUACAGACAGGGGAAAAUUGGGGGGAAAAAACCCCAACAUUUGGGGGGAGCAAGCAGACCCUCAAGUGCUGGGUCCAGUUCUG